GUGCAUGUGCCACUUAGACUGCUUCUCCACAGGGUCAGGCUCCCUGAAUCUGAGGAAUCUAAAACUGUCCUCCAUCACAAUGAGAACUUGGGAGGCUUGUCCACAUUUCAGCAGCACAGCCCUGUGGACUUUUUUCAGAAUGAAGUGCUAGUUAGUGGUCUGUCUUUGCUAAACCUUGUAUUUUCAAAAUGGGUGUGAAAAAUGUUUGCUUAGUAUAAUUCCCACCCAUCCUCUCCCCUUAGGAAUAGCCAGGCCAGAAGAAGGAAGGCCUGCUGUGAGUGGGACCGGAAAUGAUAUCACCACCCCACCAAACAAGGAGCUCCCACCAAGCCCAGAGAAGAAAACAAAGCCCAUUGCAGAUGCAAAGGCUCCUGAGAAGCGGGCCUCACCAUCCAAGCCAGCUUCUGCCCUGGCCUCCAGAUCUGGAUCCAAGAGCACUCAGACUGUUGCAAAAACCACAACAGCUACCGCUGUUGCCUCAAUUGGCCCAAGCAGUAGGAGCCCCUCCACGCUCCUGCCCAAGAAGCCCACUGCCAUUAAGACUGAGGGAAAACCUGCAGAAGUCAAGAAGA
RNAcentral lists this small RNA (572 nucleotides) under Pongo abelii (Sumatran orangutan). Its description in RNAcentral is "retained intron". The record is from RNAcentral. Lineage: Eukaryota; Metazoa; Chordata; Mammalia; Primates; Hominidae.